Molecule: long non-coding RNA, 401 nt
Organism: Syzygium oleosum
Lineage: Eukaryota; Viridiplantae; Streptophyta; Magnoliopsida; Myrtales; Myrtaceae
Exons: 3
Source: RefSeq, a predicted model, not a curated record
CUACUCACCCUUUAAACUUUGCCAACCAGCGACUCCAGAAUCCAGAGCUAUGCAUCUUUGACUCCAUGAAGCAGAAUAUAGCUAUCAAAAUGAACUUUGGGCAAAGAUUUCAUUGAGAGCUAACCAGUCCGCGAAACGCCUUCAUUUGUGUCUGUACUCAAACCGACUAAACCAUUCCUCAGUCUUGGAUGGUGAGGAAAAUGCUGGAAUGGAAGGGUUGAGGCACAACAAAUCUGUUUCCCCCAUAGAUCUCGAUGUGCCACCUUAACUGCCAUUAACAUGACAUGAACUUUGCUCUAUCCAUCCUUAAUUCUGACUUCUGAGCUACCCUUUUUCAAUGAGACCCAACUUUCAAACAUUUUCAAACUCGUCUUUGCUAUUUAUUCAUCACAUAAAUCAUG